Long non-coding RNA from Bombus terrestris (buff-tailed bumblebee), 3312 nucleotides. RefSeq lists it as uncharacterized. NCBI's taxonomy places the organism in Eukaryota, Metazoa, Arthropoda, Insecta, Hymenoptera, Apidae. The record is from RefSeq and is a predicted model, not a curated record. The transcript is spliced from 2 exons.
GAUAUAGCUGAAACGUAUAUGAAGCCAACCGUUACGUUCAUUUGUGUUUUACCCCAAACGAAGAGGAAAUAAGUUGUGAAAGAAGGAGUAGCCUCUCAUAGUUUCUACAAUUUCUUCAUUCUCUUUGCUUUCUUCAAUAUUGCCUCUGCAAGUUUCUGUGGUUGAGGAUAUUUGAAAUAUAUACAAUGUUACCACCGUGGAAAUUGUCUUGGAAACUUGGAAAAUCUUUCAAGAGGAACAACAUUGCUAACUGAGAUUAGAGAAAGGAAAGGCAAGUAAAUCCUUGCUUCUACUUGGAGCUUUUUUAUUUAUUUCUGACGAACAAAGUACUCUUAUUGAAGUUUGAUUAAAAGUACCAAGAAUGUCGAGAUAUAAAUAACCAUUUUUGGAAAGAUUAGGAGAAGCAGAAUUAUCGAGUAAACGUUAUACAACUCUUAGUGAUUAAAUAAGAGGAGAAGAGAAAUGAGAAAAAGGUCUUUUAUCUGGGUCUUAAUAAAGUAUGCUAUACUUAUCCCCAUGAAAGUAUCAAGAAUAACAACAAGAUAUAAACAGUCUUCUAGAAAUUGAGUAUCCCAUGAUCAUAUGAUAAUACAUAGGAGGAAAAAAAUAGAGGAAAAAACAGUGUAAAAAGAAGUUGCGUAGGAGUAUCGUCGCACUACAUCGUUCGCCAAUUGAUGCACGUCAUGGCGAUCGUCACGGUUUAAAGCAGGCCAUCAAAAACACGUUUGUUAUCAUAUGGAAAAAUCUGCGACGUUCCAGCUGUUCAGGUGCAUCGAAUUGUGAAUCAUCGGCGGUACGAAGCGAGGCGAGAAGCGUAAAUAGAGAAAGAAGAAAAGAAAAGGAUUCGCGUAAAUGAUAAAAUAUAAUCGUUCGUUCCUCGUCGAUGGCGGAUGAAUGGCUUUAAUCGUGGACGAUAUCGAUACGAUUAUAUUUUAUAUAUUUGAAGCAAAUAUAAAAGACGCGGAAAAAACCAGAGAUACGAUCGUUAUGAUAUUAUUCAAUCGGUAGCCUAUUUACCUCGUUUUUUGUUCACCUUCUCUGUCUAGUAAUAAUUUUUCGAUUCGACUGGCGUGACGUUACGUUGGCGGUAAAAACACGAUUUUAAACACCUGCGGUAGUUGCAUGAGUUUCGAGCGAUUCCAUUCCCUUCGAUUUAUAUUUAUGCGAUCAACGCGCGGAUCGUUAACGCAUUAUGCAGACAGCAGAUGUUACGUAAUCACGCAUAUCGUAAUUGGAAAUUAGUAACGUUAUCGCGUACCAGGAUCUUCCUGUCUUCGAUCAUUGAGUAACACUUCGUUGUCCUCGCUCCUUCCGCGGAUAACCAGCGUUUAUCACAUAGAGACAGGGAUUUGCGAAGAAUAUAAGUUGUAGAACGUUGAAAGGCGUUGAGAGAAACGUGAUGUUAUUCCGUUACUCGUUAACGCAGUUAAAAAAUCCCGCAGGAAGAUUACGAUAAUAGAUAAAUUGGAUCGAGUGUUUGUCGAGGGAUCUAAAAGAUUCUUUCGAGUUGAGCAUCUGAGAUUGCAGAGAAAAAAAUUUGGAAGCAAUCGAAUUCGUGAUGUCGAUAGAAAUCUAUAGUUGGAAUCGUUGUAUCAUAACGUAGUCUCCUUAUUGUCGAUAAGACGCCGAUGUUUUUAUAUUUUAAACGAAAAAAAGAAAGAAAAUAGAGACGUAUUAUUUUAAAAAGAGAAACGAAUUUUACGAUCAUAUUCUUGAAAAAAGAACGAUGAAAACUAAAAGUAACUACUAAAAGUUUCUAUCUUCUAAAUUAUAUUUACGAUUCCGUAAUCUAAAAAUUGACUUUUGCAAACAGCUUGACAAACUGUAACAUUCGCUUAACGGAAAGACAUACGUAUCUUGUUUGUACUCGUCUUUUCACAAUGAAUUCUUGAACGUCUGUCUCCGUGGUGAGACAAAUGCAAAGUCAUCUCGUCAGUCACUCACAUUGCUUCAAAUCUCCAAGAGUAUCGACGAGCACAUCGCACAUCAUCGCUUCCCAUUCGUCCCUUCCCGUUAGAUUGUGCUUCCUCGCCAAGUAUCGCGCUACAGCGUUGCUCUGCGCUAUCGGCUUCCCGUCUAUCUCCAGCACAGGCAGCAUUCCAUAAGGCAUUGCUAAGAACAAACAUGGCUUGUAUGAACACUGUGUAGAGGGAAACGAUCGAUAGGAAAUCACAACACAGCUUCUGAGGCCGUUGCGUUCUUGUGAAUGGAUGAAUCGAAAUCAUUUCGGUUUUAAUCAACAUGGCCUAGUAAGGAAAUACAGAGAUGUUUUCUUUUUCUUUUUUUUUUUUUCUUAUCUUACAAUUACGAUGGACAGGGUAUCGCGUGUUUUUGACUGUUGGGAAGGAUCUAAAGGUUUUAAAAUCAAGGAUGAAAGAUCGAGUAUAAAAUUUUUAAUUCUCACGGAAAGGAACGAAUCUGUCUGAUACGGUGUACUGAAUGUACGAGGAACGAUCAGUAUCGUUUUGCUGGAAGACCUUAUGCAAUGAUAGUGAACUUACGACUGCGAAUAAAAAAUUCACGUCGCAUAAUGCCAGACACGGAAAAAAAUAUUAGAAAAUGUACACGGUUCUUGCAUUGAAAAUUGAAAUGCAAGGAAUAUAAAUCAAAUGUCUCUUGUGAACGUAAUUUUGUGUUCUACACCGACAGGAUUGAUUUAUAGACUUACGUUUAUGUUUUAUUUCUCUAUUUGCAAGAGACAUAUAAGAUUAUAUCGAAAACUAUGCUGCGUAAAAACUUUUAUUAUACUAUUUACGAUACAAAUAUCGCAACGGAAGAUCGAAUUUUAUGUCUGCUUUGUUCUUUUGACUUUUUAGCUAUGUUCUUGUUCAUUUCCGAACUGAUUUCAAUCUUUUACCCUUUUUUCCGACAAAUCCUAAAAAUUUUUUAAAUUAACGAGAAACGUUAAAGUAUUUUUGUAUUCCUAUUUUAAGUCACCUAUUUACGGUUUUCUCAAAAUAUUCGAAAUGUUUCGAUUCAUUGAAAAAAGAUAAAGAUUGCAAUAUAAAAAUUCGGGAACCGUAAGUGAAUUAAGUUGGUUACGGAAGCAAAACUUAAUGGAAAGUUCGACUUUAUUCCGUAUGAAAUUCUACUUUCAGUAAGUUUAGCCUGCACGUGAAACGAAAGUUUUAUAUACAGGAAAGUUUGAGUAAAUGGUAGAUAUCUGAGAGUUGAACGAUGAAAGUAAAAAUCGAUUUCUCGCACUUACAUUUCUUCAAUUCAGGCCAGCGUUCUUUGGGGAUCCUCUCGUCGAUAUAGUCGAUGCCAGCGUAUGCAAAUAUGUAGCGAAUAUGCUCGGCACGACCACGGGCG